CAGUAAUUAAGGUAUUACAAGUGCCCAGAAACCCAUAGACUUAAAUAUUUUAUUUUAGACAUAUUCAAUUUAGAUUCUCCAUUUUGGAGAAAUUUGGAUGCAAACCAGGAAUAAAGGUUUUUGUGAAAUGGUAAAUAGCAGGAUUGUUCUGUCCAUAAUUUCUAAAAUUCAUCACAAUACUCUGGAAAUUGUUGGAAGGAAUCAUUAUAUAAAAGCUCUAUGAAAUGGGUUACCCCUUUGUGGGGUUAAAGUCCAUAAAUUCCAAAAAUGAAAUAAAGUAAUUCAUUUAACAAAUGUGUAUAGAGUGCCUAUUAUGUGCCAGGCAAUGUUCUAGAGUUUUGAGAUAUACAGUGAGCAAACAAUGCUCUCAACUCUCUGGAGCUUAUAUGCUAGUUAUUCUAGUGGGGGAGGCAAGACAAUACGAACAUAAAAAAUGAGAGUAAAGGAUACAGUAUAAAUCAGAAAGUGAUGAUACUAUGGCAAAAAAAACAAAAACAAAAAAAAAACUAAAUAAAAGAAUAAGGAGAUGAGAGCAGGGAGAUAGCCUGCUAUUUUGAAUACACUGGUUGAGAAGGUGCCAUGGAAAACAAGAGUUAAGUGAAAAUUGAACAGAGCAAUUAAUGUCAAAAGUGAGGAGCAGGCAUUUGCAAAGAGGCCAAUUAAAGACUACAUCAUUGUCAAAAUGUCUGAAAGCCAGAAACCCAGCAGGCAAGAGAAUCAUGGCAGGAAGAUGGAGUAGUUUGCCUUUGGUCCCACAUGUGGACCCAAGUUGCUUCUAUGGAGUCAAGGAGAUAUUAGCAGCCAUGGAAUGA
Molecule: long non-coding RNA, 812 nt
Filed under: Papio anubis (olive baboon)
Lineage: Eukaryota; Metazoa; Chordata; Mammalia; Primates; Cercopithecidae
Description: lncRNA (ENSPANG00000046716.1)
Source: RNAcentral